Peromyscus leucopus (white-footed mouse) is the source of this 379-nucleotide long non-coding RNA. RefSeq lists it as uncharacterized. The transcript has 3 exons. The record is from RefSeq and is a predicted model, not a curated record. Lineage: Eukaryota; Metazoa; Chordata; Mammalia; Rodentia; Cricetidae.
CUUCUGAUCGAGCACAAAGUGGAGGCAACAUCCAAGUCUGGUGUCACUGACCAGAAGCCUGUCCUGGAUUUUCAUGGAUGUCGGGGUAUGUGAUCCUCCUUUAAAAGGAGGAGGGCAGUGGGUACAGAGACCCUGUGUCCCCCCUCCCCCGUUAGUAUUAUCUACAUAAUAGUUAAGAGAGUGAGCAGAUGCUGAGCGUGAAGACAGCAUAGGACUUCAUCUGGUGACGGCACCCUGCUGCUGGCCCUGUAAAGUCUUCCAGGAUAAGAAUUCCUCAUUGUUAAGGUUGCAUUUGUUCAUUCUUUCAUUUCAAUGCUUGGAGCUGUAAGAGAUUGGUGAGCCACUUUUUUCUUGGUGGGGCCAUCCCCAGUACAGAAAG